GGGGGUGUAGCUCAGUGGCAGAGCACUUGUCUAGUAUGUGAGAGGCCCUGGGUUAGAUUGCCAGCACCUCAA
RNAcentral lists this transfer RNA (72 nucleotides) under Heterocephalus glaber (naked mole-rat). It matches the Rfam family "tRNA". Rfam says of the family: Transfer RNA (tRNA) molecules are approximately 80 nucleotides in length. Their secondary structure includes four short double-helical elements and three loops (D, anti-codon, and T loops). Further hydrogen bonds mediate the characteristic L-shaped molecular structure. tRNAs have two regions of fundamental functional importance: the anti-codon, which is responsible for specific mRNA codon recognition, and the 3' end, to which the tRNAs corresponding amino acid is attached (by aminoacyl-tRNA synthetases). tRNAs cope with the degeneracy of the genetic code in two manners: having more than one tRNA (with a specific anti-codon) for a particular amino acid; and 'wobble' base-pairing, i.e. permitting non-standard base-pairing at the 3rd anti-codon position. Lineage: Eukaryota; Metazoa; Chordata; Mammalia; Rodentia; Bathyergidae. The record is from Rfam by way of RNAcentral.